Molecule: long non-coding RNA, 1490 nt
Organism: Prunus persica (peach)
Lineage: Eukaryota; Viridiplantae; Streptophyta; Magnoliopsida; Rosales; Rosaceae
Exons: 3
Source: RefSeq, a predicted model, not a curated record
UCUCGUAAAUGCGAAAGUGAGUGCGGAAAGACUAGUCUUGAGAAAAGAAAAGGAAUAAUAUUGUUUGAUUUUUUUUUUUUAAUUACUUUCAUUUUGUUGGGUCGGUGAAAUUCGUAUAAAAAGCCCAAAACGGGAAAGAGACCAAAAAGCCCAUAUCAUAACCGGGCAAAUACGAAAAAUGCCUCCCAAAUCUCUCUACAAUCAGAUCUGACUUCCAAUUCCAAGCGAUUAAGCGAGAGAGCGAGCUAGAGAGUCCGAGAGACUAGAGAAUCCCUAGGUUCCGUCGCUCGCGUCUCUGAGUAGACGACAUUCGAGAAUGGAGCUACGAACCCUAAAUCAUUUUCAUUGCCUUGUCCGGAACCGGAUCCGGAUCCGAACAAGGCAAUGAUUUAGGGUUUCGGAUGGUGCAAAGAGAAUGGUGAGAUCGUUGGUCUCUGCGUCGACGAUGAAGAUGACAACAAUCCAGAACGUAGCCAUGUAUCGCGGAUCAGGAUCUGUCUCAGAUUACGAUUCUAUUAUGGAGCUCGCCUCGUAUGAUGUGGUGGUUUGCUGGCCUUCUGGUCAAUGAUGCUUAUAAUGCAUAAAGUCUCACAUUUUGAUGUCCAGUCAUGCAUCCAAGCAGGUUAUCUUACCUGACGGUCGUGCAUCCACUUUUAGCACACCCAUUCUCUUUCCCACACCUUAGUUUAUCUCUUGGUACGGUGACUGUCAUUGUAAUCUACAUGCUUGGCUUCUGUUUGAUGCGUCUAGUACAUGUGUGUGUGUAUAUAUAUAUAUAUACGAAUCAUUAGUGGCUGGCAUUUUUACAUUUCUGAGCACAAAAUUGAUUUGGUAAUGAGAAAAGCCCCGUUAUAUUCUUGGCAGACUUCAGUUUUCCCCCUUUUUUUCUUUGUGGUUCUUAUUCCUUACUGAAGAAUGUGCAGGUCAUACAUUUAACUGAGCUCGCUCAGCCUCAUUGACAUUCGAGUUUGGUUAUGGGAUGUUACAUUUUACGGAUGGGUUUCCUUCAAACAGUGUAGCAGUUGCUUAACCUUGUUUCACAGGCGUUUUUCAAAUUUCCGUCAUUGUUUGCAGUUUUUUUCCCGCAUUGCAUGGUCUCCGUGUGUGUGUAUGUCUCUCUCUCUCUCUCUCUCUCUCUCGCUCGCUCUCGCAUCUCUCAUUUCUCAUCGGUCUCCUCAGAUCUCCUUUCAUAUGUUUCGGUUUAGGCGGUGGGAAAAUGAAGGCAAAGGAUGAAAGUCAAAUGGGAAAGAGGAUUGGAGUUGAAGCACGGCUGAUAUGGUUUUCCAAGUGUUUUUUAAUGUCUUUUUUGUUUAGUUUGUUAUAGUUCUAUGAUUAAGUAUUUCGAUUUGUUAUUUUAUUUUUUCAAUUUGCAGUCGAUAUUUUAAUCUCUGUUAAUAUGGAAAUGUCAUUACAUGUUAGGAGAUCAACAUUGGAUGACUGAAUGGUCGGCCCCAUAAUUCUCAGUAGGUUCAGUAAGUCCCAGUAGGUCA